This 65-nucleotide transfer RNA is filed under the name Dipodomys ordii (Ord's kangaroo rat). It matches the Rfam family "tRNA". Rfam says of the family: Transfer RNA (tRNA) molecules are approximately 80 nucleotides in length. Their secondary structure includes four short double-helical elements and three loops (D, anti-codon, and T loops). Further hydrogen bonds mediate the characteristic L-shaped molecular structure. tRNAs have two regions of fundamental functional importance: the anti-codon, which is responsible for specific mRNA codon recognition, and the 3' end, to which the tRNAs corresponding amino acid is attached (by aminoacyl-tRNA synthetases). tRNAs cope with the degeneracy of the genetic code in two manners: having more than one tRNA (with a specific anti-codon) for a particular amino acid; and 'wobble' base-pairing, i.e. permitting non-standard base-pairing at the 3rd anti-codon position. The record is from Rfam by way of RNAcentral. Lineage: Eukaryota; Metazoa; Chordata; Mammalia; Rodentia; Heteromyidae.
GGUGGCUCAGUGGUAGAGCGCUAGCCUUGCAUGCAUGAAGCCCUGGGUUCGAUUCCCCAGCACCA